AUUGAACGCUGGCGGCAUGCUUUACACAUGCAAGUCGAACGGCAGCGCGGGCUUCGGCCUGGCGGCGAGUGGCGAACGGGUGAGUAAUGCAUCGGAACGUGCCCAGUAGUGGGGGAUAGCCCGGCGAAAGCCGGAUUAAUACCGCAUACGACCUGAGGGUGAAAGCGGGGGACCGAAAGGCCUCGCGCUAUUGGAGCGGCCGAUGUCGGAUUAGCUAGUUGGUGGGGUAAAGGCUUACCAAGGCGACGAUCCGUAGCUGGUCUGAGAGGACGACCAGCCACACUGGGACUGAGACACGGCCCAGACUCCUACGGGAGGCAGCAGUGGGGAAUUUUGGACAAAGGGGGCAACCCUGAUCCAGCCAUGCCGCGUGCGGGAAGAAGGCCUUCGGGUUGUAAACCGCUUUUGUUCGGGAAGAAAUCCUCUGGGCUAAUACCCCGGGGGGAUGACGGUACCGGAAGAAUAAGCACCGGCUAACUGCGUG
Molecule: ribosomal RNA, 484 nt
Filed under: uncultured bacterium
Lineage: Bacteria
Description: partial 16S ribosomal RNA
Rfam family: Bacterial small subunit ribosomal RNA
Source: RNAcentral